UUUCUUGAAAUGGGAAACCAAAUGGGAAAAUCAUCAAAAACUUUGGCAAUCCAGACGGAAGUCAAACACGUUGACAGGAUGAUCAUGAAUGAAAUGUCGACGUUCUGCUUCAAGGAGUGCAUGAAGAAACAGCAUAAAUCCCAAUUCGAAUCUCUGGAGGCAUGUUCGCUGUGUUGCAAGGAUAUGUUUUACUUGUUGCUGUCCGACUUGAAUCACAAUAAAUGCCAAUACACGUUCCAUGAGACGGAGGAGAACCCAUAACAAAAUACAACAAAUUAAAGUAGGUCUGGGGGAAACAUCAAGAGAAUGAAAAUAAAUGUAUUUGAAUUUCACAGAAUGCCAAAACUAACGACCCCAAAUCCCAUGUUGUACAUGGAACAAGGUCACAUAAUUGGCUCCCCAUGCCCAAUUCCAGUGUAUAAUAAUAA
Long non-coding RNA from Drosophila guanche, 428 nucleotides. RefSeq lists it as uncharacterized. The record is from RefSeq and is a predicted model, not a curated record. The transcript has 2 exons. NCBI's taxonomy places the organism in Eukaryota, Metazoa, Arthropoda, Insecta, Diptera, Drosophilidae.